RNAcentral lists this ribosomal RNA (242 nucleotides) under uncultured bacterium. RNAcentral's name for it is "partial 16S ribosomal RNA". It matches the Rfam family "Bacterial small subunit ribosomal RNA", at positions 93 to 334 of the family's 1533-position model. The record is from RNAcentral.
UAGUGGCGACCGGGUGAGUAACACGUGACUAACCUACCUUCAAGUGGGGGAUAACCUCGGGAAACCGGGGCUAAUACCGCAUAACAUCCUUGUAAUGAGAAAGCAGGGAUCAAAGGAGCAAUUCGCUGGAAGAGGGGGUCGCGGCUGAUUAGCUAGUUGGUGGGGUAAUGGCCCACCAAGGCUUUGAUCGGUAGCCGGCCUGAGAGGGCGCACGGCCACACUGGAACUGAAACACGGUCCAG